GACGAACCGUACGAACGUUACUCGGAAUCACUGGGCUUAAAGGGUGCGUAGGCGGCCCGAUAAGUUGGGUGUGAAAUACCUCGGCUUAACCGAGGAAUUGCGCCCAAAACUGUCGGGCUUGAGCGAGGCAGAGGUGAGCGGAACUUAGGGUGGAGCGGUGAAAUGCGUUGAUAUCCUAAGGAACACCAGGGGCGAAAGCGGCUCACUGGGCCUCUUCUGACGCUGAGGCACGAAAGCUAGGGGAG
This 245-nucleotide ribosomal RNA is filed under the name uncultured bacterium. Its description in RNAcentral is "partial 16S ribosomal RNA". It matches the Rfam family "Bacterial small subunit ribosomal RNA", at positions 524 to 768 of the family's 1533-position model. The record is from RNAcentral.